Alosa sapidissima (American shad) is the source of this 899-nucleotide long non-coding RNA. RefSeq lists it as uncharacterized. The transcript is spliced from 6 exons. Lineage: Eukaryota; Metazoa; Chordata; Actinopteri; Clupeiformes; Clupeidae. The record is from RefSeq and is a predicted model, not a curated record.
UCACGAUAAAAGUUGUUAUUGUUUAUGAAGGUGUCUGUUAUUUUAUGAAGAGGCAUCUGGCUGUUUUGUUUAUGUUUGUUUUUCAUUAAUGGUUUAGCUCAUGAGAUCACGAGGCCAGUGGCUAAGAAAGGCUGGCCGACUAGCGCUAUCGCCAAACAUCUGGCCAUGAAUGGAAUAAGACCUUCCUUGCGGACUAUCCGGCGAAAGCUGCGUUAAGUGACAAGUCAGGUGAUGGAAAUAAUAGACUCCAUCCUGAGAACAGAUGAUGAACUACCAGCAAGAGAAUUAAAAGCGCUUCUUCAAAGAAGGCACAACAUAAGAAUCUGUUUAAACCCGAUUCGUUCCAAUGACCCGGGGAAAAAACAAAGACUUGCGUCUAAUCCAGCUCAAGAAUGGAAGGCUGCUGGUGAAAAGUGUGAUGUUCUCUUCACUGACGAGUGUGUGUUUUCCAGUCAAACUGCAUGUUUGGGGUGGGAUCAUUUUUGACGGUAUUAUGGAUCAACACUUCUACGCGGAAGAGAGACAAAAAAUCCAUCCAUUUAUACUUAAGGGAGCGUUUCCGUAUGUCUACACAUAGAUUCUUCCAAGGUGUCAAGGCCUGCAUUCAAAGUGAGGGGAUCAACUGGGUACCAACACCGGCAGAGUCGCUGGAUCUGAACCCCAUCGAGUUAGUGUGGGCUUCCACGAAACAAUACAUUCGCUGUGAGGCCAAACCCAUGAGCAAAGAUACACUGAUCUCUGCAAUAGUUUUUUUGGUAAAACAAACUCACAGCCGGUGUCUGCAAUAAAUACAUAGACCAUCUGGACAAAGUCAUCAACCAGGUCAUAGCGUGGAAGGGAGAGGCAACUGGUAUGUGAUCUCCCCACGGGCCAAGGGAUGUCCAAAUUUUCUCCUUUGC